UACAGAGGUGGCAAGCGUUAUUCGGAAUUAUUGGGCGUAAAGGGCGCGUAGGCGGCUUGAUAAGUCCCGGGUGAAAUCCCUCGGCUCAACCGAGGAACUGCCUUGGAAACUGUCUGGCUUGAGGCCGGGAGAGGGUAGUGGAAUUCCCAGUGUAGCGGUGAAAUGCGUAGAUACUGGGAGGAACACCGGUGGCGAAGGCGGCUACCUGGACCGGUUCUGACGCUGAUGCGCGAAAGCGUGGGUAGCAAACAGG
This 253-nucleotide ribosomal RNA is filed under the name uncultured bacterium. Its description in RNAcentral is "partial 16S ribosomal RNA". It matches the Rfam family "Bacterial small subunit ribosomal RNA", at positions 524 to 776 of the family's 1533-position model. The record is from RNAcentral.